AGCCAGAACCUGGAAGCAACCUAGAUGCCCCUCAACUGAAGAAUGGAAAGAGAAAAUGUGGCACAUUUAUACAAUGGAGUGCUACUCAGCAGAAAAAAAGCAAGGGAAACUUGAAAUUCGCAGGCAAAUGGAUGGAACUAGAGGAAACCAUCCUGAGUGAGGUAACCCAGUCACAAAAAGACAAACAUGAGCCCUCACCCAGUGGCUGAAGGAAGCAGAGACAGACAUCCACAGAUAUACACUGAGCCGAAAUCGGGAAUUUAGUUGAAGAGAGGGAGGAAUGAAGAAAGAAGGGGUCUGUACCAGGUUGGAGAAACCCACAGGAACAGUUGACCUGAACAAGGGAGAGCACAUUGACCCCAGAUGCUGUCCGGGAGGCCAGUACAAGACUGAUCCAGACCCCUGAACAUGGAUGUCAAUAAGGAGGCCUCUGCACUCCAGGGAGCCUCUGGUGGUGGAUUAGUAUUUUUCCCUGGUGCAAGAAGGGACUUUGAGAGCCCAUCCCACGUGAAGGGUUACACUCUGGCCCUGGACACAUGGGGAAGGGCCCAGGACCAGCACAGGAAGACUUGGUGGACUUUGCAGAGCCCCAGUUGAGGGCCCUACCCUGCCUGGGGAAUGGUGG
Molecule: long non-coding RNA, 625 nt
Filed under: Cricetulus griseus (Chinese hamster)
Lineage: Eukaryota; Metazoa; Chordata; Mammalia; Rodentia; Cricetidae
Description: lncRNA (ENSCGRG00015036619.1)
Source: RNAcentral